RNAcentral lists this ribosomal RNA (910 nucleotides) under uncultured bacterium. RNAcentral describes it as "bacterial SSU rRNA". It matches the Rfam family "Bacterial small subunit ribosomal RNA", at positions 33 to 941 of the family's 1533-position model. The record is from RNAcentral.
ACGCUGGCGGCGUGCCUAAUACAUGCAAGUCGAACGCUGGAGAUCUAGCUUGCUAGAUCGAAGGAGUGGCGAACGGGUGAGUAAUACAUAAGCAACCUACCCACGAAGACUGGGAUAAUCUCUGGAAACGGGGACUAAUACCGGAUAGGUAAUCGGAAGGCAUCUUCUGGUUAUUAAAGGUUAAAAACACUGGUGGAUGGGCUUAUGGCGCAUUAGUUAGUUGGUGAGGUAACGGCCCACCAAGACGAUGAUGCGUAGCCGGCCUGAGAGGGUGAACGGCCACAUUGGGACUGAGACACGGCCCAGACUCCUACGGGAGGCAGCAGUAGGGAAUUUUCGGCAAUGGGGGAAACCCUGACCGAGCAACGCCGCGUGAGUGAUGACGACCUUCGGGUUGUAAAAGCUCUUGUUUGUAAGGGAAGAACGGUAGAUAGAGAAUAUCUAAGUGACGGUACCUUACCAGAAAGCCACGGCUAACUACGUGCCAGCAGCCGCGGUAAUACGUAGGUGGCGAGCGUUAUCCGGAAUUAUUGGGCGUAAAGGGUGCGUAGGCGGCCUGUUAAGUAAGUGGUUAAAUUGUUGGGCUCAACCCAAUCCAGCCACUUAAACUGGCAGGCUAGAGUAUUGGAGAGGCAAGUGGAAUUCCAUGUGUAGCGGUAAAAUGCGUAAAUAUAUGGAGGAACACCAGUGGCGAAGGCGGCUUGCUAGCCAAAGACUGACGCUCAUGCACGAAAGCGUGGGGAGCAAAUAGGAUUAGAUACCCUAGUAGUCCACGCCGUAAACGAUGAAUACUAAGUAUUGGGGAAACUCAGUGCUGCAGCUAACGCAAUAAGUAUUCCGCCUGUGGAGUAUGCACGCAAGUGUGAAACAUAAAGGAAUUGACGGGGGCCCGCACAAGCGGUGGAGUAUG